UACAGAGGUCCCGAGCGUUGUUCGGAUUCACUGGGCGUAAAGGGUGCGUAGGCGGUUCGCUAAGUUGGAUGUGAAAACUCUGGGCUUAACCCAGAGCCUGCAUCCAAUACUGACGAGCUAGAGUUCUGGAGGGGGUAGCGGAAUUCCUGGUGUAGCGGUGAAAUGCGUAGAUAUCAGGAGGAACACCGGUGGCGAAGGCGGCUACCUGGACAGCGUCUGACGCUGAGGCACGAAAGCUAGGGGAGCAAACAGG
RNAcentral lists this ribosomal RNA (253 nucleotides) under uncultured bacterium. RNAcentral's name for it is "partial 16S ribosomal RNA". It matches the Rfam family "Bacterial small subunit ribosomal RNA", at positions 524 to 776 of the family's 1533-position model. The record is from RNAcentral.